RNAcentral lists this long non-coding RNA (330 nucleotides) under Androctonus crassicauda. Lineage: Eukaryota; Metazoa; Arthropoda; Arachnida; Scorpiones; Buthidae. The record is from RNAcentral.
CACCAUUUCCAGGAUGAUGGCUGCACUAUCAGAUCAUUACUGUUAAUGAUAUCAUGGGUGGCCUUCCAUCAUACCAGCAUGGUUGCAUGACCCAAUGGUAUAUAAGUUGGUUGCAUUUAGGGCCAUGGUUAAUAGGGCAUAUACCCAUGUCACUAAGUGAUGAGAUAGAGAGGAGGAAUUGGCCUAUAUAUGUACAUAAGGAUCUAAAUAUGGGUAUAAGCAGUGGUGAUAUUCAGUGGGUUCGCACAGAUUUGGCUGAACCCAUUGUUAAAAUUUUCAAAGUUUUCCGAAUCUUGUUAAACACACAUAACAUUUCUCAGUGGUUUUGUU